AAUGAAUGGAUGGCUUGGUGAGGGCCCAGUUGAAUGAAUGAAUGGAUGGCUUGGUGAGGGCCCAGUUGAAUGAAUGAAUGGAUGGCUUGGUGAGGGCCCAGUUGAAUGAAUGAAUGGAUGGCUUGGUGAGGGCCCAGUUGAAUGAAUGGAUGGCUUGGGGAUGGUCCAGUUGAAUGAAUGAAUGGAUGGCUUGGUGAGGGCCCAGUUGAAUGGAUGGCUUGGUGAGGGCCCACUUGAAUGAAUGAAUGGAUGGCUUGGUGAGGGCCCAGUUGAAUGAAUGAAUGGAUGGCUUGGUGAGGGCCCAGUUGAAUGAAUGAAUGGAUGGCUUGGUGAGGGCCCAGUUGAAUGAAUGAAUGGAUGGCUUGGUGAGGGCCCAGUUGAUCGGGGUAGCCACUCUUUUUUUUUAAAACAUUUUAAAAUAAUUUUUAAAUUUGACCCCCAAUUUCGAUCUUGUCUCAUUGCUGCAACUCCAACGGGCUCGGGAGGUAAAGGUCGAGUCAUUCGUCCUCCGAAACAUUAACUGCCAAACCGCGCCUCUUAACACCCGCCCGCUUAACCUGGAAGCCAGCACCAAUGUAUCGAACGAAACAUCGUCCACGACCGAGGUCGGCGUGCAGGCGCCCGUUCCGCCAGAAGGAGUCGCUAGAGCGCAAUGAGCCAAGUAAAGCCCCCCCCCCAACCCGGACGACGCUGGGCCAAUUGUGCUUUAUGCUCUCAAGGCACUUCCUCACGAUUUAUGCCUACUUAUUUUGUGAUUAUCUUUCAGGUUCCCAUUAGCGCUUGUUGUUGUCUAAUUACUGUUGUCACUGUCAUCGCAGCUUAGUGGGUUAGUGGGGGCGACUGUGAGUUAGUGUGUCGUUACCGUUGUGGUGUGUGAGCGCAGCACAGAGUGCCUCGUUUGUUGCUCAUUCCUCUGCAGCAUGCAACAUGAAAGUCAUGGACCAGCUGUCAGAAUUUGCUGAGGAAGGAAGGUAUAUGUGCGUCAUCUCUUAGAAAAGUUGUGUGUGUAAAUGCUAAUCUGCCUGCUGCUUGCUCUACAACCCCUUGAAAAGGCAUCGGCCCUACCGUGUAAAACACCAGCCCAGUACGAUCCCGUAUGUAAAACGAAUCUUAGCUAUUUCCUUUAUUUCUGUGAAAGCUAUAAAUAGUGACGGUGCCGCCUCCUCACAGCUUGUUGUGUGAGGGGUGGAAUGGCUUGUUGAUGAUGGGGGAUAGUUGUGACAGGGGCUAAGUGAUGGUAUUUCACCAUCCUCCAUUCCCCCACCUCUCAAGGGCACUGUUUUCCAAAUCGCUCACUUUCUUCCCACCCCCAGGCCGAAACAGAAGCAGCUUCUUAUCCCUGUUUUCCCUGUGAUGCUGCCACUGGCCUUUGUGUGUCAUGGUGGAGGCUGAUUCAUGGAGACGAAGGCUGUCUUCUCGUCAUUUUAACUCUGAGGGUGUAUUAUUCUGUUUGUUGUGGGUCAUAUUUAACCUGUUCGGUCCAUCAUGCUGUCGGUCUCCAUAUAUAUAUAUGUGUGUGUGUGUGUGUGUGUGUGUUUGUCCGUAUGUAGGAUCUAGGCGAGUCUAUGAUUGAACCAGUAUCUGGGCAAAGGAGCCUCUUCCGGUUCAAAACAAUACCUUGAACUGUUUUCGGUUGCUUGUGAAUGUUUAUUUAGUCCUUUAUUGGAAGUGCACACCGAGCGUAACGGCAGUAAAUGACGAUCGUUGCAGGCAAGGCGUAUUCAGUGAGUGACAAAUGUAUUUUGACGUGACUGGUUCAGUCUACGAUAUGCUCUUUUCACGAGGGGUAGUACUACGAUGGGAGACCGAGAGGUCUAUGAUUUUAAUUUUGGUCCCACCGACGUCAUGUUAUCUGUGCUGCGUGUAACUGGGCACGUGUAAGCUACGUGAUGCUUCCCGUGAGCAGGUGUGUUUGUCAUUGUGAGAUGAGCUGUGUUUGUCUGUGUGCGGUUGAGGUUAAUUCUGUCUAACACUAGGCUUUAAACAACAAUGAUCCUCUUCCUUCUGCUUGCAUGAGUGAUUCUCUAUAUUGUCUUUAAUAGAUGUGUCAAUGUUCAGACAGCGAGUUUGAGGGAUUGAGUCUAAAGUGAAAGGAGGAGCCUAAUUUUACAGGAGUAGUUUACAGUGGGGGACCGGUUUGGGGGGUUGUUUUUGAAAGAGGUUAAAGGUCAAUAUUUUCCAGCGAGAGAGCCAACCGAACACUCCAUAGUAAGUGUCCCAAAUGUCACCCUAUUCCCUACAUAGGGUUCUGGUCAAAAGUAGUGCACUAUGUUCUGACCAACGCCCAUAGGGCUCUGGUCAGAAGUAGCGCACUAUGUAGGGAAUAGCGUGCAAUUUGGGAUGCAGAACUUGUCCACCCUCCUGACCACCUCGGUGUAAUCUGAUCUGCGUUUCCUGUCUCCUAAACAGCCUUCCUUUACAGUGGUCUGGUCAGUAGCUGCCUGAGAGGAAUUAACAUCGCCUAUCAAUUAGAGGUCGACUGACUAUGAUUUUUCGGUACCGAUUAUUGGAGGACCA
Molecule: long non-coding RNA, 2517 nt
Organism: Oncorhynchus tshawytscha (Chinook salmon)
Lineage: Eukaryota; Metazoa; Chordata; Actinopteri; Salmoniformes; Salmonidae
Exons: 2
Source: RefSeq, a predicted model, not a curated record